This is a non-coding RNA of Rattus norvegicus (Norway rat), 24043 nucleotides long. Lineage: Eukaryota; Metazoa; Chordata; Mammalia; Rodentia; Muridae. The record is from RefSeq and is a predicted model, not a curated record.
GAUGAAAUCCUGGUGGAGGCAAUGAGUCAAUUUGGGACACCUUCAGAUUUGCACUGUCUAUAUUUAAAUGGAGUGAGGGAACGAACCUUAGCACUGUCUCCAAUUUCCUUUUCCAGGAACCAUUUGCAGUUUAUUCCAUUGGAGAACUCUGGUUUUGUUUUGUUUUGUUUUUUUCCGGAGCUGGGGACCGAACCCAGGGCCUUGCGCUUCCUAGGCAAGCGCUCUACCACUGAGCUAAAUCCCCAACCUGAGAACUCUGAUUUUUACAGUCUCCUUUGUGUAUGGUGUGUGCACUCUUACGUGUGUGACUGCAGGCAGUAGGUGCCACCUACACAUAUGGAAGUCAUAGGACAACCUGGAUUGUCAGUUUUAGUCUCCCACCUUGUAGAUGGGGUCUCUUUGUCCUUUGACUUUUAUAUGCAGCAGGCCAACUGGCUUGGGGCUUCUGGGGCUUUCUCCAGUCUCCCCGAAGGGGCACUGGACUUAUAGAUGUUCACACUGUGUACUGCGCUUUUAUACACUGCAUUGUUUUUCUGUGGCUGUGAUAACACCAUGGCCAAGGCAGCUUACGGAAGGAAGAGUUUAUUUGGGUAUCCUCUACUAGAAGGAGAGUCAGUCUGGGAAGCACGGUAUAGCCAUACUUAUGUAUGUAUUGUGGAUACACACACACAGUCUCAAAGUCCUCAAGUUUCUAGUGAUACCUUGGUUCUUUUUUUUUUUUUCUUUUUUCUUUUUUUCGGAGCUGGGGACCGAACCCAGGACCUUGCACUUGCUAGGUAAGCGCUCUACCACUGAGCUAAAUCCCCAACCCGAUACCUUGAUUCUUGAAUAGUCCACACCUCCCCAAACAGCACUACCAAUGUAAGGACCCAGUAUUUAAAUAUCUGUGACUAGAGGGACGUUUCUCACUCAAGCUAUAUUGAGGAUUUGAACUCAGGUCUUUGCUCUUAUAUGGUAAGUGUAUCAACUUCUGAGCUGAUCUUGAAUUCCUUUUCAUUUCAUUCACAAUGUGAGAUGGCUAUCUUAGGAUUGCAGAGGACUCACACAUGGUGACAAUGGCAAAGAGUUGACUUGGAGCAUCACGGUCCACCUGGCUGUGUAGAGUCACUGAACAUCUUGAAUCCUCAACUUACCCUUCUCUAAAACGGUAGUGAUAUCAUCAGAUCCCCUCUACCAAAUAAAGUGUGAAUCCACAGCCAUUUAAUGUUCGGGAUGCUGGAGGAUUGUUAAGUCAGUUUCCUAAGAAGUAUAAUUGGUACAAUAAGCAAUUGAAUGUAUUUCUCUACAAUAGAUAUUUUUUUCUCCCUUUUACUUCUUUCUUUAAAGUUUCCUGCUUGAGAACUGAGCUCAUGUAAUUUCCACCUGGCUCCUUUUCAGAUUCAUAAUCUCUUCUUUAAUUAUAAUGGUUACACAUGCUGUUACAUAUGUUGUUACAUUUACACACACACACUUACACACUAAUGAGUCCAUUCAGUGUUGCUCAUUUGUAUCUGUCUGUAAAGUUGUUGGGGACCUUAGAGGAGAAUCAAGUACUACACCUUUGUUAUAUAAAUAUAAUUUCUAACUGCAUUAUAAAUAAUUUCCCCUACACCCAGGGCAUAACUGUAGCUCUCACUCCUCACCAAAGGAUCUUUUAUUAAUAAAAACUUCAUGUGAUAUAUUUUGACAUUUUUAGAAAUGUCUUUCUGUAAACCAUUACAGAAAGCUACAACCGGUCAAGAUGCGGAGAAAGUACUGACCAUAAGGUGCCCAACCCCAACUGAUACAUUCACAAUACAACCCCCACACCUAAAACUCAGGGAACAUCACAGAAAAAGGGGGGAUGUAAAGAUUAUAAGAGCCAGAGGACCAGGACACCUGCUACAAGAUUGUGUCUUCCACAAAUGACAGGGAAAACUGCACCCGUGAAAUUUCAACAGUAUGGCUGCUUAAACAAGCCCUGAUUAUUGACAUGUAGUCAGUUGGCAUGGCAACACAGGUGAGGAAAAUCUCACAAGGACCCACCUUUGGAUGAAGAACUCCAGGCAAUGAAUCGCUCCUGAGAGAUGGAGGAUGUGUCUUCUUCAAGGAUGAGCCCUCUGAUAGGUUAUAGUGGACUUCUCAAAAAAGAUACACACCGCUUGUUUGGGGUCUUCAAGUUAUAAGCCUGUGGUUCUUGGCCAUUUCGAUGAACUUUUUGCCAUCCAGAAAACGUAUUUGCCUCUCUCCACAAAUUAUUCAGAUUCAUGUCAAUUUCAUUAUGGAAAUAUAUACAGGAGGUCAAGUUCCAACUCAAAUUUCAUGGUAGCUGUUGUAUAAAUAAUCACUAACCAUUCCUUAUCUCAGAGAGAAGGUAUGACGUGUCCCUUUGAAGCACAUGCGUGGUUCAGUGGGUCCAAGGGUGCCGAAGAGAACUGCUAGCUGUGCCUUCCAGCUGUUCGCUUCAGAUAUAAUUUCCACAUGACAACUAAUUAAAGCGUAGGGCAAGGAUUAUAGUCUUCGUGGUUUCCAAAAUUUCCUGAAAGUAUCCGAGAAUAAAAUUUUAGAUUCGUCUUCCCCCAAAUCUCACUCUUACCUUUCCAUAGUACUCAGUACCGGCUCCUUGGUGAUCAAAUGCCUCCCUGAUCAUAGAGAAGGGCUUAAAGAUAGAGAUUUUUAGGGUUAGGGGACCAUGGGGAAUCAUUAAUAUCUUUACUCCUCAGCUUACCUUUCUGUAAAAUCAUAUUGCUAUCUCCUUCUGAAGUGGGCAAGGAGAUUAAAUAUGGAUACAUAUGAUAAUUGAGUUGUAUAGGGUAGUUUUGCUUUUCUACAUGGUUCCAAGAGAAUGUUCAACUGAACUCAGCCAUCAGUGUCUUGGCGGACAGGAAAGGAUAGUGUCAGUCAAAGCACGGAAACACAGAUGCUGAUCGAUGGCUUUUAAAGAAGGCUCCUUACAGAGGUCAUGAGCACAGUUUACAGGAGGUAUAAUGGGGCACAUACAUUUUACCCCUGAAACAUAUACUGAGGAUGCCGAAGAAACAUAUGGCUGAUUUGCACAAAGACAAAUAUGCAUGGGAUGGGGGUAGGCAAGUUAACAACUUAAGCUUUUCUUGGAGCUUUCAACAUUCUUAGAAGCUUUCUGUCUUUGCUUAUUUAUUAUUUUAUUAUUAAUGUAUUGUCUAUUAUUUGGCAUACUUUAAAUCGUUGCAUAUUUAGCUUAUUAUUUAUGUGCAUUCAUGGGCACACAUGUGAGCAUGCCAGGACCCAUAUUUGGAGGUCAGUGGACAACUAUGGUAGUUGGUUCUCAAACUUAGGUCAUCAGUGCUUGCAGUAAAUACUUUUACCUGCUGAGUCGUUUCCCCAAAGCCACUGGGAAGUUUUCAACUGGUUAAGUUGGCCUUGCCCCACCCUCUAUAAUAUAUGGAGAUCUAAGAUACCUCUGGGUAGUCAGACUUUGGAAGGAUGCUGUGGACUAUGAAGGGAUGUGGUAGGAAGCAUUAUGGCUUACCAAAGAUACCCAGAUGUGUCACGGCUUGAGUGUCAAAUGUGUCUCAUGGGCUUAUGGGCUUAAAGACUUUGCCACCAGCUGGUAGCAGGGUGUUGAGAGAUUGUGGAACUUCUGUGGUGGUGGGAGGAAUCCCUGCUUCACCAGCUAUCUCUCCAUCAGAUACAAGCAAGCAGUGGCGACUGUCAGAGUCAUGCAUCCCUCACCCUGUGUGCCUCUCUCACCAUGAUGGACUAUAACCGUCCAAUCUGUGAGCCUGUCCUCCCUAAGUUCUUUUGUUGUGCAUUUGGUCACAGUGACAUGAAUCUGGCUAACACGGCAUCUUAAUCUCCAAUGAGUGCGAAUGCUUUGCCUUAGCUGGCCAAAGGACCUUUAGGGAUCCUUAAGGAUGCUGAGGUGAAAGGAUUAUCUUGUUGUUUCAAACGAGGACAGCUCGAUCAUACGUUUGGAAUUGGGCAAACACCCUACUUGGGGUUCAGAUGAGCUGUGGUUACAGAAGCAUGGUUGGCGGGGGGAAGGUUUUCCUGUCCUGAAGAGUUUUAACUGUCAGGUAGACAUAGCCUAGGACCAUGUGGGAAGGGAGGCUUAGUGAGAGGCCACCUACAUCAGGUUGCUGCUGAUAAUGCUGCUCCUUUGCAAAGAGGGAAGUGAAGGCUCAAAGAGGACAAAGAUCAACUCAGCAGCCCCACGUUUCGGUAUUGGCACCAUCUCUGCUACUGUUUCACCAUUGCUUUUAUUUCGUAAAGAUUUUUAGCACAGGGCUGGAGAGAUGGCUCAGCGGUUAAGAGCACUGACUGCUCUUUCGGAGGUCCUGAGUUCGAGUCCCAGCAACCACAUGAUGGCUCACAACCAUCUGUAGUGGGAUCCGAUGCUCUCUUCUGGUGUCUGAAUACAGCUACAGUGUACAUAAAAUACAUACAUAAAUAAAUAGAUAAAUCUUCUUUUAAAAAAAAAGAUUUUUAGUACAGAAAGACCAGCUGGCUCUAGGAACGUGGGCGUGCUAAAUAUAACUUCGCCCAACCAAUAAACAGGCUACUCUUGUCUCUCUCAUCACUGGGGUAAAACAGGUGCCCAGAGCUUCAAGGACAUCUGCUUCCUUUUCUAGACAAGGACUUACUACCUACUCAGGAUGUUCUUGAACUUGAAAUCUGCCUGCUUCAGCCUCCUUAAUGCUGGGACUUCAGAUGAGACCAAUUGCUCUUACCUUAAGCACCACAACACAUGGCAAGGAUUCUCAGCCAUGGCAGACGUAUGGAAAGGCUCACCCUAAAUGCCCAGAGAAACACGUUCCAGUCUACACACACUACCAUGAGCAGGAAUUUGCUUCUUCAUUUCAGGAGUUUUUAUUGAUCCCAAUAAUAGUUAUCCUCACCAUUAAAUAGCUGAAUAUUAUUUCUUACUAAUUCAGGAAUCUCACCUUCAUGAAUUCCACAGCCAACUUCAGAACAAUGGUUGGGCUCUGCCCCAGCCCCCUCCACAGGACCCCAAGCUCCCCCACCAGGCUCCCUUUUUUCAUUCUACUGAUUAGUGUCUUCUCUGACCUUGAGGACAGAAAAACCCGCUCCUCUCAUUCCAGACUUUAAAAAUCAUAUUCCCUUAGUCACUCAGAAUGAAUACAUUUAAAACCCAGUAGACUUUUCUUUGAUGGAAUAGAUUUUUCUCUGAAGCCAUGUACGCUAGGUGGGGUAACCAAACUCCCGGGAAAGGAUGAGAAAGGAAAAGAAACGUUCAAGUAAGUAAAAAGUCUCAGUCAGUGUCUCGAAUCACAGCAACCUACAGGUUCCUCUUCAAUGUCAGUCUCUCAUCCGGAUCACAAGUACAAGUGGCAGGAACAGAGGGAGGGGCCUUCCCACAGGCUCAUUCCACAAUAGUCAGGACGAACCUGCAGGGAGCUUGCAACACGUCCCCAAACUUCUCUGACUUGUUCACUCCCUUUGUUUUGAUAAAACUAAACAGUUGAAGAAUGCUGUUGUUAAAUUUUUCUUUGAAUAUUGCAUGGGGUACAUAGCCAUUGUGCAUAGUAUUGGGUCUCAUACAAACAACUGUAUAUACACACAGUUAUAUAUAUAUAUAUAUAUAUAUAUAUAUAAUUUUUUGUAUGUAACACACACAAACAUGUUCUGCAUAGGAGAAUGAAAAAAAAAAGCAAAUUUGGUGCCUAUUACUGUUUUACCAGUUACCCAGUCAACCUUGUAAUCCCCCGACUAAUAAGUUAAUUUUACUUUUCUAGCAUUUUACAAAACUCAGUAGACAAUAUACUUUAUAAUCAGGUCUUGUCAUUAGUCACCUUAAGUGACCUUAAUGCCUGUGCAAAGAAGAUUCAUCAGGCCCCAAAAGGAUAUCUCUCCAAGGGUCUGUUCACUUUCUCGCCUGGCCUUAAAGACCUCAGCUCUAGGGAUGGGUGAUAGUGUUCGGUAGGCAAAGCAUGACAACCAGAAUUUGAUCUCAAAGAAAGCCCAGCAUGGUGACGUGGACACGGUGUUGGGUUUGUAGGAAUCAGGCAGGAUCCUGGAGAUCUCUGUCACCCCGUUGAGACCAAGGGUGCAAGCCCAGGAGAACACCAUGCCUUAAAACACAAGGUUGACUGCACCUGAGGAAUGACAGCUGAGGCUAAACGCUGUCACAGCGACUCAGGAUCGAAAGCCCCACAUCACAGAAAUAGUGUGAAAGUUACAUCGCAGAGCCAGCUCGUGUAGAGCUGGGCCCACCCCUUCUAACGACUUUUAAAAUGGUAUAGCAAUUCUCCACGUUUUGUUGUUGUUGAGUAUGCUGUAGCUGUCUUCAGACACACCAGAAGAGGGCAUCAGAUCCCAUGACAGAAGGUUGUGAGCCACCAUGUAGUUGCUGGGAAUUGAACUCAGGACCUCUGGAAGAGCAGCCAGUGCUCUUAACCACUGAGCCAUUCUCUCUUGCCCCCCGAUUUUUUACUUUUUACUGCUUUCCUAAAUAAAAAUAUCAAAGAGGAGAGAAAGGCAUUUUCUUCCUAAGACCCUUUAAAAUCUUUUAGCAUGAUCAAAUUAGCCACUAAAACGCAGGCCUUUGGAAUAUUAAAGGUAAUUCUUUUUGUAGAAUUCAAAAUAAUUGAAUUUGUAUGGUAACCAUUUUAACUCUGCUCUGGUAUUUUUUUUUUCUUCUCCUUUCAGUGUGCCAAUAUCUUUUGGAGAUAAAUGUCAAUCAAGUAUGGGAGUAAAAGGAAAAAUGCUUUCACUUCAAAGACUAAGUUUUAUAUCCUAGGAGGUUGAAGAAAGCUCUCCCUGAUGAUAAUAGCCCCCUAUCCCCCCAGUGCAUGGAUGAUGACGUCUGUAUGAACUCCUGUUCCAUCCACAGCAUGUGGACGCUAACCUCUUUAUCCAUGUUAGUCUGAUAGGCAAAACACUGAAGCCCAUGAAGUAACUAUGACCCUUUUACAGUUUAAGGUCAAAGAAGGCUAAGACACUCACUGACUUCUAAGUGUACAGUCCCUCCCAUUGCACCUUAACUUAAGAACAAUCUACCAAUGCAGUGGUUCUCAACCUUCCUAAUGCUGUGAUCUUUUGAUACAGUCCCUCAUGGUGUGGUGACCCCCCUCAACCAUAAAAUUAUUUUUGUUGCUACUUCAUAACUGUUCUUUUGCUACUAUUAUGAACCAUAAUGUAAAUAUGUAAAUAUCUGAUAUUCAGGAUAUCUGACAUAUGACCCCUGGGAAAGGGUCGUUCAACUCCCCAAGGAGUCGAGACCCACAGAUUGUGUGCGAAUCACUGUACUAAUGAGUUUUGAAGUCCCUGGGACACAGGUUCUGCCACCUUCGGCCAUAUGGACCGCAGCCUGUGACAUCCUUCCUUCUUGAAUGUGACAGGCAGACACACUGGAAUGCAGGGGCACCGGAUCUGUCUCUGUGGAAUGGAAACUUCAGGGCUAAUUGGCUAGAAAGCCAAGAAAAAUGAAUGCCAAAGCCAAGGGGAUGUUUGAGACUCCCUUCAAACAUAAUAAAAACCCACUGACUGCUGACAUGGUUCUUUGAGGCUUUGAUCCACAGAUGUAUUUUACUAAAAAGACCCCAGCUGCCCAUUUGACUCAGGCCCUUUAUAAUGAAAAUGUUUUAUUUCUCUUCUCUGUUUCUGCUCGUGUUAAACUGAAGUGGAAGAAAAUGGUACCAUGUAGUGUGGGACACGCCUUCAGCUGACGUAUUUCUGCAUAUAGAAAACAGGAUCAAUGUACUUAAGCCAAGCAUGAUUGCUAUUCACUAAACACAUUUCCCAGAGCGGUCUGCUUAAGGAUGUGGGGACAAUGUGUGAGGUCUGAAAUAUCAGUGGAGGAAGAAAAGACAUCUAUCAUCUUAGACUGACAAUUCCCCCAGGGGAUGUGGCUGCCAUGCCUUAUGGUCAAUUAUCCAGGAUCAUUCUCCCAUGCCUCCAGUCUCAGACACGGCCUCAUUCUUUAGGUAGUAAAUGAUGGUCCCUCUGGCCUUGAGAUCACACUGCAGCUGGAGUCACGGGAGGUUGUGACUCAUCUGAUGUGAGUGCUGAGAACCGAAUUAGGAUCCUCUAGAAGAGCAGUGAGUGUUCUUUAGUUGCUGUGUUGUCCUGCCAGCCCAUGUGUCAAUUUCUUAUGAGAAACAUUAAUUAAUUCCACGCAGCUCUUUUCUAAUUAAUCUCAUAAAAUCUUCUAGUGAAAUCUAACCAAACACAAAGAUCUAGUGAAUUAUUUAAGAAGUUGAUCACAUGCAAAUCCUAUUAUAUGCACAUAUACAUCUAUCUAUCCGUCUAUCUAUCUAUCUAUCUAUCUAUCUAUCUAUCUAUCUAUCUAUCUAUCAUCUGUCUCUGUGUCCAUCUAUCUACUGUAGGUGAAGAUAUAUUGAGAUAUAAUUUACACAGUAAAUAAUUUUUCUAUUUACAAUGUAGACUGUAAUAACUUUCAGUAUGUUCAGAAACUUCAGCAUACAUUCUUGUGGCCAAUUUUAAAGUGUUUUCUUUACUUGGAAAGGAUAGACACACCUUGCCCAUAGCUACUAGAUAUCCCAUCCAUUCAUCUCCCUCGCUGUUUGGUAUCCACUGAUAUAUCUUCCUGGGGCUUUCUUCAUUCUUGAGGCUCUCUAUAAAUAGGAUCAUAUGACAGUUGUUCCCUCUUUGACCCGCUUCUCUCUCUUAGCAUAAUGCUCUCAUGAUUCAUUCAUGCCGCAUGUGUCAGAACUUCAUUCAUUGUCAUGGACAAAUGGAGUCUCUCUGUAGGGGUGUGCUACGUCUUAUUUAUAUUUUAGUUGCUGUGCCUUCGAGCUGUUUCCACUUUUCGUCUCUCAUGAAUAACUCCUCCAUAACCACUCAUGUCUAAGAUUCAGCACAGAUGUAUGCUUAUUUCUGUUGGGAAUGCUGGGUCAACUGUAGCUAUUUUAACCUACUGAAGGAUUUUUUUUGAGCGGUCACUAAGUUGUCCACAUCUCAAGGAGCAGUUGGUGAUCAUCUCAGUCUUCAAGGUCCCCACACUAGACCCUUAAAUUGCCAUAUUUGGAUAAAGCAAGCAAUCCCUCCACCAUGCACUCUCGGGUCCUGUGCCACUGUGUCAACAGCCUCCCUCGCAGCGUCUAAGAGAUGCAAGUGUAAAUCACAGAAUGUUUUUGAUCCCAACCAAAUAAACACUUAACCUUCAACUCCUUUAUAUGCACAAUGAGGAUAAAUAUCUCCCUUGCAGUAAGAGCUACGCAAGACUGAACUGUGUUUUCCGCAGAGCACAGAGCGGUCUGGUAACUAAGACAGGUGUUAGAAAAGCCAGGCGCAGCUCCUUGUUUUGCUAAUGCUAUUCGUUAGGAUUCUCACACUUCACCAGCAUCCAAUACAGAAGGUGGUGAGUGAGACAUUGCUUAUUAUAGUCAUCCCUUUAGAAUUUCGACAGUGGGGUUCAUGGCUAAUCUGGUCCUACUCUCUUGAUGUGUUCCUACUGAUGUCAGGGAUAAAGUAGAGGGUCCUAAUCCCUUGUCAUCAGAGCUGAUCGCUCCUUCUUUAAUGACUCCACUAGGAAAUUUGGGAACUGAGCUUCUAUAGUGGAAUUCUUGACCUCCUUUGAGCAUUGGCUUCUAGGCAGAGUUUCCAUUAGGAGGAACUGAGACUUUGGGGAAAAGAGAGAAUGGCUAAGCCAUCAUCAUCACCAUCACCAUGACCAUGACCAUCACCAUGACCAUCAUCAUCAUUAUUAUGUGUGGUUUGGUGGCUCAGCACGGUGUGGAUUCCUUUCAAUGAAACCAUAGCUACUGUAGCUUGGUUUCAAUCCUGUCAUUGAUUCUGAUAUAGACUCUUUCCACUGGGUUUUCUGGUUGGGUGAAGGUGCAGGGUUGAUGUCUAAAUGUCAUACAGGCAACAGCUCCCUGGUGUGUACACCAUCUCCCAUGAACCUAGUCCUAACCCAUCCAUUUAGAUACUGCCUUUAAGGGUAGAGAAGUAUGAAGACCACAGUUUGGGCCCCCACUAUUCAGGUACAUGCUAGAUAGGUGGGUGGCUCUCUAUAACCUGAGUGUUUAGGAGGCAGAGCCAGGUUAGUCCCAGAGCAAGCUGAAUAGCUACGUAGUUGGAAUCAGCCAAUUUAAGGAGAGGUCCUGUCUUACUGCAUCAGGUGGAGAAUGAUGGAGAACACCCAACCGUACCCCUGGUAUGCAUGGGCACACUUAUGCACACAAGCACACAUGCACACAUGCAUGCACACACAGAGUUGGAUAUUGCUCUUAUUAAAUUAAUUCUCAUGCUUUUUAUAUCACAUAGUUUCUAUGAGGAAUCUAAGGUUGGCUUAAUCCUGAUCUGGGAUUUCUACCCUGCCUUUGACAUUUAGUUCCUGGAUAAAGACACUCUACUUUUAUUAUUUACAAUAAGCCUUAAACAGCACAAGAAGUGGGCAGGUAUCUACUCUCUGUGCCAUUAAAAUCGAUUUCGUAUCGAUAACCCGAGUUAUUACUAUGUUUUAUCUGGGCUGCUCUUAAGUCCAACUGGUCAGCCUUCAGGGCCAUGUUUUCUUGACUCCUAACCUUAGACAACCUUUUCUUCCUCCUUCAUCUUCUUCUCUCUCUUGUGGUUCUCCUCUGACCGCCCCCCCCCCACCCGAGACCCAGGAACCCUAAAACCCAACUAUGUCUCUUCUGCCCAGCUAUUGGCUGCCAGCAUUUUUAUUUACCAAUCAGAGAUAACUUGGGGGCAAGGUCACAUACCAAUAGUUGGGUCUAUGAGCAGACUCCCUUGUCGCUGGGACAACCAAGUCUUGGGGGCCACACUUCGUAAUGUACAGUAUACAGUAAAAGACCUUAACAAGUAACCAGUGUAUCUAACAUCUAACUUGCUGUGUUCUUCCACACGGAGUCCUGUUCUGUCUUCAUUGACCCAGCCCACAUCCUCACAGUGUCAGUGUGAAAUAGGGGAUUCUUAUUAUCUCUUCCAUUUUUAAGACGGCGAAACACAGGCACAGAGAUCACAGUAAGUAACAAAGCCAGAACCAACUCCCCAUUGGCCUGCUUGUUACCUCUAUGCAUUGGUCUUUAUAUGAUUCAGACCAUCUGCGGGGGCAAAGUUCUUCACCGAGGACACUCAGCCAGCUGCUUGGCUUGGCAAGAUGUUGGCGGCGAGAUGGAUUAUACUCUUUGGACUUCAUGAGUCACUGGUAAUUGUGUGAAUCCAUGUUCAAUGCGACCAGCUGAGAAGCUUGAAUCUAUGCAGAAAGACUGUCAAUCUGCCGGCUAAUGCAUGAUCACUGUAGAAGGACCCAGGGUUCACACCCCAGGUAACACAGACCCAGGCAGAAGCAGGAUGAUUUAGAUAUAUUUGUGACUUAGAAAACAUUUUCUCACGGAUAGGGAUAAUAAAAGGCUGGGACCCAAACUCAGGUCCUCAUGCUUUUGUGGUGGGCCCCUUAUCCACUGAGUCCAGCACCCCUACCCCCAGUGCUAUUUUCAACUUUCUGCCUUGGCUAUUUGACAGCCCCAACUUUCCUAGUCAGCACAGCCUUUUAUUGAACCUUAGUACAAAGUAGCAGGUCAUUCGUCUGAUUUACUGCCUUCAUGGGAAUCUGGUAUUGUAGCCCUUAACAUUUCUGAAUAAAUUUUAUAUAACCAGCUUGCCAAUUUCCUAGAAGAAUAAGCCAGGAUUUAUGCUGAGAUUGCUAAGCGCAAUUGGGGGACAUAACCCCUCCUUUUUUGGCCAUGUCCUUGUGUGUGUGUGUGUGUGUGUGUGUGUGAGAGAGAGAGAGAGAGAGAGAGAGAAACAGAGACAGAGAGACAGAGGCAGAGAGACAGAGACAGACUGAGAGAGAGACAGAGAGAGAGAGAGAGAGAAUCCAAAUGUUUUAAAUUAUUGAUUCAGUUUCUUUACCUGUUAGAAAAGCGUUUGGCUAUUUCAGCUCUUCUUGUAUGGGAUUUCAGCUGGGUCCUCUGUUUCAUUUGAAUCUUCGAAUUUAUUAAUCGUAAAGGUUUUUAUAUGCCUGCUUUGUCUCUUUAAUGUCCCUCACAGGCAUCACCCUCUUUUUAUUUCUGGCAUUCGCUUCUCUGCCAUUUCUGACUUGAUUUCUCAGCCCUCAGUGGGCUUUGUUAGUUUUUCAGUGUGCCAGCCCUUUAAUAGCUGGUGGAAUUAUGGUUUGCUAAUUAAUUUCUGGUUCUUUUUCUUGAUCGUUUUGUCUUUCUACUUUCCCUGGGUUUAAUUUGCCUUCUAAUUGUUUCAGAUGAAUGUUUCAGGGAUGGGUGUAGAACCACUCUUUAUGACAAAUGUGUGCCUUUCACGAUGCAAAUCACACUCGGUGAGGGUCCCUUUCCCACAAGUUUAUGCCUCUAGUUUCAUGAAGCCUUGUCAUUCAGAUGCAAACACUUUAGAGUAAUUAUGCAUUCCCAAGCUUACGUUUUUAAAUCUUUGCCUAUACAUUAUAUUCCAGAUUCCAUUGUCAGAUAUUUUUCCAAGAAGCCGGUAUUUUUGGUACUGUUUACACAAUGAAUAGUUUCAAGCUUCCUUCUACGUCUAAACUUGAAGCAGAUCUUUUGUAAACAUAAUUUCUUUUUAAUCUAAAAAGACAUUUAUUGGAAUAGCUCAUUAGAAGAGUCAAUCUCUUUAGGUAUAAUUCAAUUCCUACUGGAUUUAGCUGCUAAAUUAUCCUGCUCUCCUCUGCUUAAAAAAAAAAAAGAAAACAAUCUAUGCGUGUGUGUUUGUGUAUGUGUGCUUAUAUGUAUAUCUGUGUAUUUAUGUAUAUGUUUGUAUGUAUAUUUGUGUAAGCAUAUAUUUAUGGACAUGAGUGUAUCACUGUGUGAAUGUUUGUGCAUCUGUGGAUAUGUAUCAUUAUGUGUAUAUGUUUUAUCUAUGUAUGUGUAUGUAUUUGUAUGCAUAUCUGUAUACAUGUAUCAGUAUAUAUAUGUGUGUGUGUGUUUAUCUGUGUAUAUAUAUCAGUAUAUCUGUGUAUGCAUAUGCAUGUAUUUGCAUGUAUAUGUGUAUCUCUCUGUGUGUGUGUAUGUGUAUCAGUAUAUGUCUGUUUGUAGUCUCCUCAACUGACUUUAAUCUCUGCAUCCUGUCUCAUGGUCCCAGUGCUCUGGCCUUUGCAGAGGUUAGAGGAUAAUGAGACUGAAGGUUCAGUUCUGUUUGCGAGUCCUUCAUACUUGAGGGAGACGAUGGAUAAACGAGGCGCUUCGUAGUAAAUGUCUUAGGGGGAACGCACGAUAGUCCACUGGCGAUUUGUUUUCCUUUGAACAGUUGAACAUGGAAGCUCAACUCUGAGGUGUUCUCUCUGCUCACACCAUUUUCAAAACGACCCAGUCUAUAAUCAAAAUCAGAAAGGCAAGACACUAUGCCAUUCCAGUAGCAGAAAUGCAGAUGGGCUCAAAUGUCAAUGUCAGGACUCUAAGCAGACAAAGGUCCUUGGCAAAGUGGCUGUGGUAGGGGUCUCACAGAAUAGAAAACCGUUUUCCUUCCCAUUGAGUUAGACACCAUGUUUAGUCGCCGCCAUUCCACAAACCCUUUAGACAGCGCAGAUCCUACUGGUAGGGAAGACCCACGUUUAAGACAAAUCUCCCCACAAUCGAGGUAUUCUCAGGCUUUCUGGAAGUUCUAGGUCAGACACCAUCUUUGACCUCCUUUCAGCUUCUAGGGUUCCAAGCUUCCGUGACCCAUAGUAUUUGACCUCUGCUUCAGUCCUCACAAGUCUCUCUGAGACUAUGACUCUCCUCCCUCCUCCAACAAGGAUUCUUGUGAUGCCUUCGGUCCACCCAGAUGACCCAGGAAACCAGCUGGUUCUUGCUCUGGAGUUCUUAGCUUCCCAGUCCUGUGACCGCCAUCAUAUGGGGUAUACAAGCGAUCCAGAAGAAGAUGUAUGGUAUUUCCUGGGGGACACUCAAGGUGUUACUUUGCUUCCUAUUGCCGUGAUAUACGCCGGGACUACCAGCAACUUGGAGAGGACAGGGCUUAUUUCAACUUGCAUCUUGUAGUCCAUCCUGAAGAGAAAAAUGAGAGUUGGAACUCAAGGCAGGAACCCAGAGUUAGGAGCUGAAGCUGACGCCAGAGAAGGACACUGCUUAUUGGCUUGCUCAGAUUAUUUUCUUAUACACCCAGGACCACAUGCCCAGGGGUGGCGCUGUCUCCAGUGAUCUGGGUUCUCUCGUAUCAAUCACUAAUCCAAAAAAAAAAAAAAAAAAGAAAAGAAAAGAAAAAAAAAAAGAAAAAAAAAGUCCCACGGACUUGCCCACAUGUCAAUCUGAUGAAAGCAUUUUUUAAAAAAAUUUUUUUAAAAAAUGAGGUUCCCUCUUCCCAGACAACAACUGUAGCAAUUACAAUAUGACAAACCCCACAACACGUGGGGAAUGAGAGCCAGCAAUGACGAAAGAGAUAGUUACCAUAAUCUGCAGUUUAGGUAGACUUUAUAUUAUGUGUAAGGUCUUCAAAGUGUCUCCUCUGAGAAAUAUUUUCCUGUCCAGGUGACAGGCAGGUCCAGAUGAAGGACAAAUCCAGGUGAUGGGCAGGUCCAGGUCCAAUUAGAUGGGCUUUUUCAGAAAGAGUAAUGUGUCCUUCUUUGUCAGGAAGCGCCCUGCUGGACAAUAACCUCAUAACGCUUAUGGUCCCUGGAACUAGGUACAGAUAGCUGUUAACUAAUGACGAUCUACGCAGUUCAGGAUGCAAUGGCUAUAUCCAAGGUCAGAGCUCUGACUCAGAUCUCAUCUUUCUGACCAGUACAUACAGCCUUGAAGCUGUUUAUUAUAGGGUCCCAGGUGACAUUCAAACCUGGUCACAUCUAACUGGCUGCCCAACAAAAUAAAUGUCCAUCAACCCUUCAUGGCUGCCUCAAAACUCUUUUUGCUGUGGCAGAUGACAAGCUCAUAGACUCUGAGUGUGAGAACUGAGCAUCUUCAAGGGGCCAAUUAUUCAACAUGUCCUAUUAAAAUCCCUAGUGUAUUUAACCUUCUUCCUUGUGAUGAAAGUAUAUACUUAAUAAUAAAAGUACUGACCACUGGUCCUAAAUGUACCAAACACAUCACUGAUGGAGAUCCCUUGUCAACCACAGACGGGACUCCAUAUGAUGUCCUCAGCAAUCCUGUAAUCUGAAAACCAUUCAAACCGUGGGUGAAGUGCAUCAACAAAGACAUUUCUGCUAGCCUUGAAAAUUCCAGGAAUCUAUAACAACAGAGCAUUCUUGUAUAGAAGCAGCUGAGUCGAGGGUGGUUCAGCUGACUCAUUAUUGGGGUACUCUGCUGUGUUAAUCAAAGGCCUUGAUAUGACCUUCAUUAAUUCAGACCACUUCCCUGGUGCCCUUUGAAAUCUAAGAAUGCAAAACAAAGUAAUUGCGCAGAUAAUUUGAUAACUGCUACUAUGAUCUCCAGCACAGAAGAGGUCAAUGGAUGUGUUGAACGACUCUGCUGAGAGGCCCGUGAAAUUCCAUUCACUUUGUCGAUGCCUGGUUUCUCAUCACGAAGCAGAAUGGCUAUAUUAGUUUCCUUCUUGUUGCCUGAACCAAUAUGCCCAACAAAAGUGGUUUAAAGGAGGAAGGGAAGGUGUUGUGGUUGGUUUCCUAUCAAUUGGCACAGGCUUGAGUCACCUGGGAAGUGUGAAUCUCACUUGAGAAAAUGACUCCUUCAGAUUGUCCUGUAGGCAAGUCUUUGGGGUCAGGGGGCAUUUUCUUGGUUGAUGAUUGACGUGGGAGGAAGCAGCCCCCUGUGGGUGCUGCCACCCCUGGGCAAGUGGUCCUGGUUGUGGUAGAAAACAAACAGAGCAAGUGAUUGGGAGCAAGCCAGUAAGCAGCGCUCUUCUGUGUGUGGUCUCUGUUUUAGUUCCUGCCUUGAGUUCCUGUCCAGAUGGUGCCAGUCAGGGAUGGAGUUUCAGCUGUGAGAUGAACAAACCCUUUCCUCUUCUCCAAGAUGCUUUUGGUUACAAUGUGUACAGAAAUGAUUUCAUAGCUGCUACUCUGACCUGCAGAAUACUAUCUAAGGGUGUAGGGAGACCUCAAAGCCCUUUAUGCUCCUGGAACAGCGGAGAGUCUCUCCCUCACUGCCCUGUACAGAUUAAAGACUUUUUGAGGUCUAUCAAAUACAAAAUCAUUUUUGUCCUUGGUGUGCAUGCUUUUUCAGACCAGCUGAAUUGGCUUUAGGAAUUGUUACUUUAUAGCUGGGUCUUUGACACCAGCUGCUGUGUGGGAAAGGGGGAGGGGAGGCGCAUGCAAAGGGUUGUUAAAGCUGGUGAAAAAUUUGCCUCUGGCUGAGAAUCGUGUAAAUCUUCGUGUUAUAACGUUAAGCAAGGUGCAGCGUCAUUACAACAUUCAAUUAUUUUGAUGCUUCAAGGCAAAUGUUUCCAGGCCUAGAAUAUUAGUCUAUUUGACAGGCAGCAAAUGCUGUUGUGUUUUCGUGGAGUGAUGCCCAUUUGUAAAGACGUGAACCCAUGCCGUUCUGCCUAUUCCCUGCCUGCUCUCCACACCCUCAUUAGUACACCAGAGUCUAAUGGAAGGGGCUCCCCAGGUUCCUUUUUAUAAGGGAGAUGGAGCUACUGAUUCCUAAGGAGCAACUGCAAGGCUGUGGAAGACCACUGUCUUGGGGCUUCUGUGACUGUGAUAAAACUCACCACCCUAAGCAACUCGGGGAAGAAAGGGUUUAUUUCGGCUAACAGCUUGGAAAGAAGCCAGAGCAGGAACCUGGAGGCAGAGGCUGAAGCAGAGGUUAUGGAGGAGUGCUGCUUACCAGUUUGUUCUCCAUGGCUCGUUCCUUUUGCUUUCUCCUGCCCAGGAGUAGCAUCACCCAUGGUUGGCUGGACGCUCCCACACCAGCCAUCAAUCAAGAAAAUCACCACAGCCUUCCCUGCAGGUCAAUUCGAUGGAGGUGAUUCCUCAAAUGAGGUUCACUCUUUAUAGAUGAGCUCUCAUCUGUGUCACAUUGAUGACAAUUAACCAGUACAAACGCCAAUAAAACUUUAUCUGCAAAAGUGCAGAGGAGCAAGUAGAUAUCCUGAGGUCUGCAGCUUGACAACUAUCCCACAGGCUAGGUUUACUGUACUUUUUAAGUCUCUUCAGUGAAUCUUAAGAAAGGACAGAGGGUUCUUGGCUAUUUAUUCACAAAGGCAUCUGAUUUAACCAGGAACAGCUUAUGCAGCGUUUGUUAAAAAACACUCAUGUGCAAGGCAGAGAGCUGUGCACUUCUCAUAUACCUUGUCAAGUAUCUGCCAUCAGUGUGGAUAGCUGUGUCCGUAACAGUGGACAUGCCGAGUGAACAGACUGUAGCCCUGAGGUCAAGCCUACCCCUCCCCAAUGUGCUUUAUAAAUAAAGUUUUAUUAACACACAGCCCUGCGCGCCGAGGCUGUUUUUCCACCAGCAAGGUAGAGUUCCAGGAUUAGGUGCCUUUCUCCUUGCUGUGACAAAAUGCCUGAUAUAAAGCAACUGAAGGAAGCGAAGAAGUUUUAUUUUGGCUCACGGUCUCAGGGUGCAGUUUUAUCACGGCAAGGAGGGUUCUGCUACAGUCUCCCUCCACAGCUCUUUGGACAAACCACCAAGGAUGUCAACCUCUUCUGGGUGCCUGAAUGCUCUGGGAUACAUCACGCAUCCACUUGACAAUGUUGUGAGAGGUAAGGCUAACCAUGAGAGUACCAGUGUUUUUCAGGGUUGCGUGCCCCUGUCUCUGGUGUCCUGAGCUUAUGGCACUCCACUGACGAUCCCAGCCUGCUUUGCGCGCUCUGGUUUCUGGCAUCAGCCUUUAUGGAGGGUUGGCACCACAUCUUAUUUUGCUCUCUCUGAUCUGCUGAGGGUUUGCAAGCCAAAUAAGUACUCGCAAGAGUUGUGUGGAAAAACAAGUUUUUAGGCCCUGCCUUUCUGCUGGACGUGGGCUCUGCAAGUUCCCACUCCUCACUGUAGGGCAUUUCGUCUAGGGUCCCUCCCCCUUUUAAAUCCUGAGGGUCUCUCAUCUCCCAGGUCUCUGGUGCAUUCUGGAGGGUUCUCCCAAUCUCCUAUCUCCUGAGGUCACCAGUUUCCAUUCUUUCAGCUAGCCCUUAGGGCUUCAGUCCUUUUCCCCCAUCCAAUACCAGAUCAUGUCCCCCUCUCCCCCAUGUCCCCUUUCCCUCCCGAAUCCCUCCCUCCUUCCUUGUGGAUGUUUUCUUCUCCCUCCCCAGUGGGACUGAGGCAUCCUCACUUGGGCCCUUCAUCUUGUUGACCCUUUUGAGUUCUAUGGACGGUAUCUUGGGUAUUCUGUCCUUCUUUUUUGGCUAACAUCCACAUAUUAGUGAGGACAUACUGUGCAUGUCCUUUGAGUCUGAGUUACCUCACUCAGGAUGAUACUUUCUAGUUACAUCCAUUUGCCUGCAAAACUCAGGAUGUCCUUGCUCUUAAUGGCUGAAUAAUUAGUAUUCCCUUGUGUAAACGAACCACAUUUUCUGUAACCAUCCUUCUGUCAUGGGACACCUGGGUUGUUUCCAGCUUCUGGCUAUCACAAACAAGGCCUCUAUGAACAUAGUGGAACAUGUGCCCCUGUGGUGUGGUGGGGUGUCUUUGGGGUAUAUUCCCAAGAGUGUUAUUGCUUGGUCUUUAGGUAGAUCUAUUUCCAGUUUUGUGAGGAACCUCCAAAUUGAUUUCCAGAGUGAUUGUACCAGUUUGCAAUCCCACCAGCAAUGGAGGAGUGUUUCUCUUUCUCUACAUCCUUGACAACAUGUGCAGUCACCUGAUGUGUUGAUCUUAGCCAUUCUGAUUGGUGUGAGGUGGAAUCUCAGGGUCAUUUUGAUUUACAUUUCUCUGAUCACUAAGGACUUUGAACAUUUCUUUAGGUGCUUCUCAGCCAUUCGAGAUUUCUCUGUUGUGAAUUCUCAGUUUAGUUUUAUACUCUAUUUUUUUUUAUUAUUUUUUUUUAGUGGUUAGCUUCUUGAGUUCUUCAUAUAUUUUGGAUAUUAGCCCUCUAUCAGAUGUGGGGUUAGUGAAGACUUUUCCCAAUCUGUAGGAAGCCAAUCUGUCUUAUUGACAGUGUCCUUUGCCUUACAGAAGCUUUCCAGUUUCAUGAGGUCCCAUUUAUCAAUUCUUGUUUUUAAGUGUGAGCCAUUGGAAUUCUGUUUAGGAAAAUUUCCCCUGUGCCAAUGAGUUCAAGGUUCUUUUUUCACUUUCUCUUCUAUUAGACUGAGUGUAUCUGGUUUUAUGUUGAGGUCCUUGAUCCACUUGGACUUGAGCUUCAUGCAAGGUGGCAAAUAUGGGUCUGUUUUCAUUUUUCUACAUACAGACAACCAGUUAGACCACACCAUUUAUUGCAGAUGCUUUUUCCCCAUUAUAUAUUUUUUACUUCUUUGUCAAAAAUCAAGUGUGUGUAAGUGUGUAGUUCUUUAAUUCUAUUCCAUUGAUCAACAUGUCUGUCUCUGUACCAGUACCAUGCAGUUUUAAUCACUAUUGCUCUAUAAUAGAGCUUGAGGUCAGGGAUGGUGAUUCCCCCAGCCAUUCUUUUAUUGUUAAGAAUUGUUUUCACUAUUCUGAGAUUUUUGCCUUUCUAGGAGAAUUUGAGAAUUGCUCUUUCCAUGUCUUUGAAGAAUUGUGUUGGGAUUUUGAUGGGGAUUGCAUUGAAUCAGUAGAUUGCCUUUGGUAGGGAUGGUCAUUAUUACUAUGUUAGUUCUGCAAUCCAUGAUCAUGGGAGAUCUCUCCAUUUUCUCAGAUCUUCUUCGAUUUCUUUCUGGAGAGACUUGAAGUUAUUGUCAUCCAGAUCUUUCACCUAAUUGGUUAGUGUUAUCCCAAGAUAUUUUAUAUUAUUUGUGGCUAUCAUGAUGGGAGUUGUUUCCCGAAUUUCUUUCUCAGCUUCUUUAUCAUUUGUAUAAAAGAAGGCUACUGAUUUAUUUGAGUUAAUUUUAUACCCAGCCACUUUGCUGAAGUUGUUUAUCAGUUGGAGAAGUUCUCUGGCAGAAUUUUUGGGGUCACUUAUGUAUAGUCAUAUCAUCUGCAAAUACCUUUAUUUGUUCUUUACCAGUUUGUAUCCCUUGAUCCCUCUUUGUUGUCUUAUUGUUCUAGCUAGCACUUUGAAUGCUGUAUUGAAUAGAUAUGGGGAGAGUGGGCAUCCUUGUCUUAUCCACAAUUUAAUGGUAUUGCUUCAAGUAUCUCUCAACUUAAUUUGAUAUUGGCUGUUGGUUUACAGUAAAUUGCUUUUAUUAUGUUUUGGUAUGGACCUUGAAUUUCUGAUCUCUCCAAUACUUUUAACAUGAAGGAGAGACAGGGUUGCUAUCCCACAGUCAAAAGUCUGACCCAUAAUUGUUCCUGUCUGAAAGAACUGCAGGGAUGGAAAUGGAGAAGAGCCUGAGGGAAAGAAGGUUCAGGGACAGGCCCAAAAGGGAAUCCAGAUCGAGGGGGGGCAAGGCCUGACACCAUUACUGAGGCUAUGGAGUGCUCACAAAAAGGGACCUAUCAUGACUGCCCUCUGAAAGACCCAAAAGCUGCUGAAAGAGUCAGAUGUAAAUAUUUGCACCCAACCAAUCAGCAGAAGCUGCUGAACCCUGUGGUUGAAUUAGGGAAAAGCUGGAGGAAGCUGACGAGGACAACCCCGUAAGAGGACCAGCAGUCUCAAUUAACCUGUACCCUUGAGAUCUCUCAGACACUGCAUCACCAACCAGGCAGCACACACAAGCUGAUAAGGCCCCAACACAUAUACAGCAGAGGACUCGUGGGUCUGGAUCCAGAGAAGGUGCACCUAACCCUCAAGAGACUGGAGGCCCCAGGAAGCUUAGAGGUCUGGUAGAGUGGGUAGGGUGGGGACCUCUUAGUGGAGACGGGGGAGGGAGGUAUAGGACAUGGAACAGUAGGAGGGUGGACCAGUAGGGAAAUAAAAUCUUGAAUGUAAAAAUAAAAAAUAAAAACCCCCAAGAUUUAAAAAAUACUAUUCUAUUGCAUUAAUUAAUCCAUAUUUGCAUUGUCAUGGGAAUGUGCUACCUAGCAUAUAUUGUGGAGGUCAGAGGGUAACUUUCAGGAGUCAGUUUUCUUCUUUCAUUGUGUGACCUGGGAUUCGAACUCACGUCUUCAGCAUUGGUGGAAAGCACCUUUAUUUGCUGAGCCAUCUCGCUGGUCCCACCUGUGAGCUUCAGAGUUUUCAAUAGUUGCUCUCACUUCAAAUACAUUUCUACCUGAGCUACAGCCCUGUACACUCUCUGGAGUAUUGCCUAUAGAUGUUGAAGGACUGUAGGUUUCUUACACCCAUAAUGGGUACUCAAUGCCUCCAAAACCUGAUUAGCUUAAUCAGAACACUGAAGUGUUUGUCUCAGAGCCCACAGAAGGCACACUACAUUCUUAUCACAGCUGCUCAUCUGUAUAUCUUCCCAGAGAGUGUGGCUAUGGUGUUGGGCAAGACCACCAUGCCUAACCAAGUUUGCCCUGCUGCAGAAACCUGAGCCUGAGUCUUCUUGGACCAACAUAUUUUACUCUCGAGACUCCAUGAUUCAUACAACCACCUCACCAUGAAUAUCAUCGUUGCCAAAUUACAGCGCAGGGACAGACCUGAUUAAACCCAUUGAUUCAAUUUUAGCGUGACUGAGUUAUUGACAUGGCCGUGAAUUAUCUUAUUUGUGUGCAGCCGAAGGCCAGUAACAGAAUUUAGGAGAAAUUAUGUCUGGGUAGCAUGGGUGAGAAUAUGUCUAAUUCAGGGGUUUGCUCACACUAAGGAGAGGUCUUUCCCUGGGGCAUUAAGGUUGUCAGAAUUCUCUAGUGGAUUAAUCUCAUAUAUCAUCAUUUCUCUGGAUGUGCUACUGGGGGGAUAGGUAACUACAAAAUAGGUUAAAAACAAGUUAUGAGAACUGCUGUUUUUGUUUGUUUGCUUUUCUUGCUUUUAGUUUCUGUUGUCCUCUUGAAAAUGACACAUUUUGGCAUUCUAGAAUAGGAAUUUAUUCUAUAUUUUCAAGUCUAGCAUGUCAGCUUUAUUCUUGGGCUGACGCUCCCCACAUUAAAUAUGACAAGCAUAAAAACAACUGGAUCAGACAUUAUGCAGAGUACAUGAGCCAGACACCAAAGUUAAGUAAAAGAGCCAUUUUAGUGACUAGUCAGUCUCAUAAAAACAGCAAGAAACAAUAGGAUGCUAUUUAUGGGAGUGAGAGGAUUUGUGUAGAUUAAUGACUGCUUAAGUCUUGGUUUUGCAGAGCAAAAGUGUUCUAAAAACUUCUGGUUCAAGGUGUGAAUGUACUUGGCAGUCCUGAGCUGUACACUUUAUGUGGAUUCUGGGAAUUGAACCCAGAUUGCUGGGCUUGCAAACCAAAUACAUUUUUUUCUCAUUAAUCUUCCCAGAAGCUUGAAUUGCAUGCUUAAAAAUGAUCAGGAUGCUAAAUUUGAUGUUCAAUUUAUUUCAUUGAAAUUUGGAAACUUUGAGGAACUUGGGAGAUCACUCAGUUGGUAACAUGCUUGUCAUGAGGUCUGAUCCACAGCACUCUUAUAAAAUCUGGGUGCUAUAGUUGGUUCCUGUAUAGGGGAUGAUGAGAGAGACAGGAGGAUCCCUGGGUUUCACUGACGAGUCAAAUAAAUGAGUCAUUUGGGCUAAUUGGCUACCAUUGGCUUGCCAAUCAUCACUGGGAUUUUCCUGUUCCUACCUCCCAGAAGUCGGAUCACAGGCAGAGUCUGCCAUACUUAAGUUUGUUCUGUAUGUGAAUGCUGGUGGUCAAAACUUGUGUUCAUAUAGCCAUCUCCUUAACAUUUAAGGUAACAUUUAGUUGCAUGGUUCAAUAUCUAUCUAUAGUUGAUAUAAAAAAAGAAUGUAAAAGUCAUAGGUUUAGAACUGCCAUCAGAUGCACCUCAGAAAGCCCUCCUUUCAAACGUCACAUCACUGGUUCCCUAGAACUAGUUAAUUGAGAGCAUCAUUUGCCAUUGUAUCCUAGAGUGUGAAGUGCUUGCUGCAAUAUUUUUCAUUAUUUCUUUUGAGGGCAUCUAUAGUGUUUCUGUGGCUUGCUUUCUGUUAUGGAUGCGUUUAUUAUUAUUAUUAUAAUCAUUAUUAUUAAUUACUACUACUACUACUACUACUACUACUACUACUACUACUACUACUACUACUACUACCACCACCACUCUGUGUCUGUGGACAUUUGUACCAUGAAUUUGUACUAUGGCACAUCUGUGCAGCUCAGAGGACAACCUGCAGGAAUCGGUGCUCUAUGAAACCUUUCCAUGGAAUCUGAGGGUCAAACUCAGGUCAUCAGGCUUGCACAGCAAGCUCCUUUACCUGCUGAACCAUUUUGCCAGCCCUGCAUGUGGUUUUAGUUUUUUUUUUUAAAAAAAAAAAACACACAAGCAACUUUGCUUAAGCAUUAUUAGCAAAUAAAAACCGUACAUAAAACUCUUCAUUUUAACAUAGCUAGGUUUAUCUUUUCCUAUUAGGGUUCUUUAUUUUCUUUCCAGGGCACUGAUUAAAGUUUGUUGCCUAGUGUACAGAUGUAACAAGGUCCUCUGACAUUCCUCUCUAGAGGCAUUGUUGUCUUACACCUCCUUUCCAGACACACGGGUGAUUCAGUGUCGCGCAGUUACAUUUUAGAGAAGUCUCAACAUUCUUUUUUGUCCCCUGACCCGGUGACUAUUCAUUGGAGCUGACACCACACACCGAGCGAGCAGUCCUCCACGAUACGAAGGUGGCAGUCUUGUCAUGCAUCAAGAUAACCAUUAACUGUAAUUUUUGUCUCACCAGCACGGAAAAACCUCUGAACACUAUGUUUAGCUCCUCAGUCUCUUAAUGAGGUUUCUCGGCAGGCCUUGGGCUUCUGCCGAGAAGAUGAGGUACUGUCAAAUGCCAGGAGCUGUGGAGGGCCUCUGAUUUCCACUUCAUCUGUCUCCUUUUCCUUCUCCCUUGGUCCUCACUGUCCCAGCUACCUUGAGGGCUAUGAACUUUGAUUUUCAUCUCUCUAUCUUCACAGGGCUUCUGGCUGUGCCAAUUGGCUCGACUUAGGCUAGACCUCCUGCUGAGGCCCAUAACCCUCAUCCCAUCAGUCACACAGACAAUGGCCUGGUGAGCAAAAUCAUGGGAGACUUCGAGUCAUAAUGAGAUUUGUAUUUUUGUCUGUGGUGACCCUUCUUUGAAGCCUUCAAAAAAAUUUUUUUUAAAUGUACUUUGACAGUAUGUCUUUGAGUGUUUACUCUCUCUCUCUCUCUCUCUCUCUCUCUCUGUGUGUGUGUGUGUGUGUGUGUGUGAGAGAGAGAGAGAGAGAGAG